CUGGGAGGUCUGGCUGGUCGUCAGUUGGAUCUGCACUUUGCAACAUCUGCAGGAGCUGGUCCAUUUUAUCUUCAUCAAUAUAAACUGGCUCAGGCUCAGGUUCUAUUGUUUCUACUUGAACUUCAUCACUGAACUGCACUGUUUUCUUCUCAGUUUUCAUCAUUUCUGGCUCAGCAGAAAGAUCAGCUGUUACAAAAUUAGAUGGAAACAAUCCUAUACCCUGAUGAG
This 228-nucleotide long non-coding RNA is filed under the name Gallus gallus (chicken). Lineage: Eukaryota; Metazoa; Chordata; Aves; Galliformes; Phasianidae. The record is from RNAcentral.